Molecule: long non-coding RNA, 1596 nt
Organism: Girardinichthys multiradiatus
Lineage: Eukaryota; Metazoa; Chordata; Actinopteri; Cyprinodontiformes; Goodeidae
Exons: 2
Source: RefSeq, a predicted model, not a curated record
GUUACUCUGUUUCAUGCUCCAAGCUUUGUGUCCUGUUCUCCUGAGUUUUGAUACACCAACGUCUGAAUGAAAAGGAACCUGUGAAGUCUUUCCUACCCACAGGAAUCCAGGGACCUUUUACUGUUCCAGAUCACAAUGCUGAGGGACCCAUCGGUAGCCCCAAAGACUGAACUGGAACUCUUCUCAAGAAGAGAAAUUCAACAGCUGGAUUUGAUUUGACAACCUUCGAGAUAUAAGAAGCCUGCACUAAACCUGGUUGCUGACGCUGCACCAUGGACCCAAAUGUAGAGGAUGAAGGGUUUUAUCUUCUCCUGCCCUCCAAUGCCAAUCUCAAUGUUUUGAGAACAAUACCAGUUUGAGUUUCAGUGUAAAUUUAGCACAGCAUAUUAAUUCAGAAGGUUCGUUGCAAGUUGCCUUGAUAGAGAUUUCAUACCCGCAUAAUUGGUUAAACCUUACCCCAAACACCAAGUUUUUGAAUGGAGAAAGGCUGAGGAUCAGGAGGUUCAUACUCAAAAAUUCAGAUGGGGGUACUAUCAAGAUCUAAAUCAGCUCAAGAUAGAGUUGGAAACCUUUUUUAGAAAAAAUACACUCAGGUAUUUAUCUCAACUUUAGCAGGAUUAAAAGGAAAUUUGUGUUCCAAGCAGCGGGGCAGUACCAUCUACUUUUCUUCCUCCCAAUGGCUUACAUGUUGGGUGUGAAAUCAGGAGAACAGUUUGAUCAAAGAUUGGCUCCUUUUCUUUUUCCAGUGGAUAUAAAGUCUGACUUUUUUGCUUUUAUCAACUAUGCUGUUACAACUAUCUAGUCACCCAGCAAAUAGUUGGUGACUCUGAAGCCCCUGUCCUAAAAAACUGUUAAAGUGGAGUGCGAUUUGAUGGUGAUAUAAUUACCUAAACUUUUAACCUGGCCCACUAUCUCCCUGUUGCCAGGAAACACAUAUAGAAAUUAAAAUGGAUCAAAAUAUAUUUUACACAUAUCAGUCAUAACGUGCCAUUAACACUCAUACGUAUAUUGUUCUUUGUUUUAAUGGUAUUUCAAGGUAGAUGUUUGACUUUAAAGAAGUGGUGAACAAGCUAUGAGCUUUCGGUUGAUGCUAGUGCCAGUGAGGUCAAAUGAUUACACCUGACUCGUCACCAUCUUAUCAAUGUCACUAGAUGUUCUUGUUACCAUUUUAGUAGUCCAUUACCACAUGUGAUGGCUAGUUAAAACAUUAAGAAUCAACUAUCCAGACAGGUUAUUAGAUUCCAAUCUAGAAAAUAAUAUUUCCUCAAAUGUCAUUUUAAUAAAUAAGUAUAGCUAAUUAAACUCCAUUAAAAAUCACUUAUCCAGAAAGGUCAUUGAUCCCCAAUACCAAUAUUUUCUUAAAUAGUAUUUUACUGGUUGAUUGGUUCUCAAACAUAGAUAACACUGGGUGGUAAUACUGCAUCAUUUUAUUUGCUUUUGUUUUGUUGGUUCCCUUGUUCAUUUAUUUGUAUAUCGUUCAUUUGUUUUCUCUUGGUAGUUUUAGUUUAAUUGUUAUAGCCUAGCAAAUAGUCUGUUAGUUGAAAUAUGUUUAACUUGGAGUUUAAUUGUUUUUGUUAAUAAAUUCUUAUAUUUUAA